Cervus elaphus (red deer) is the source of this 72-nucleotide non-coding RNA. Lineage: Eukaryota; Metazoa; Chordata; Mammalia; Artiodactyla; Cervidae. The record is from the annotation of a RefSeq genome assembly.
UCCCUGGUGGCUCAGAUGGGAAAGCAUCUGCCUACCAUGUGGGAGACCCAGGUUCAAACCCUGGUUAGGGAA